Molecule: long non-coding RNA, 444 nt
Organism: Herpailurus yagouaroundi (jaguarundi)
Lineage: Eukaryota; Metazoa; Chordata; Mammalia; Carnivora; Felidae
Exons: 3
Source: RefSeq, a predicted model, not a curated record
CGAGGACCCCGGCUCGGCGCCCGCUUACCUGCGGUGGCUCAGCUCCCAACCCGCAACGGCGCCCGCGGGCGGCCGACGGGAGGCGGUGGCUGGACGGCGACGUCUCCAUGGCAACCGUGUGGCGCGUCACGUGGAACUUAGAGCCCAACUGCCAAAAAAGAUGUAUUAAAGUGCAAAGAAAGAUGGAGUGUGGCUGGGUUGGGCUGGGACCCAGGAAACCGGCUUCCAGUCUCAGGAACCCCCUGUGGUUCUGCAGCAGGAACAAGGGCAACCACUUCCUCAUCUAAGUUCCUUCGGCCUCUUUCUCAUCAGCCAAGCUUUGCCCCAUCCUUAACGAAGGCCCUACGAAGACUAGAUAGUUUCACUGGCCUAAGCACACUAGGAAUUUUCCUCUUUUCUGUGCCUUUCACCUGGCUUCCAAGUGAAUAAAAAUUUAGAAAGACA